UGUGGGAGCAUAUUAAUUAGUGCUUUGAAUUUGCUUAAGUUUUUUGUUCCUUGGGACGACUUCCCUGGAGGCAGAAAUACUCUGUUGCAGUAGCCCUAUAUUGUGGUUUGUUUUUUUUAUUGAGCUGAGCUGGCAAUUGUGAUCCCUACUCCUGCCCACCUCCAUUCAUUCUCCACUCAGACUUUCUUCUGUGUGGGCAGCACUGGUCCAAGUUGGAGAUUUUGUGUUGGCCUUGCUCUUUGAGCCAAUCCAUGUUGCUAAGGAAAAUGCUGUGGGCUUGUCUAUGGGAUCAAAUUACAAUGCAUGGCUAUUGAGAUGGGAAAUGUCUUCACUUAAACUUCACAGGAUAUUGAAACCAGUCUUAGCAAAGAGACGAGUUAGAAGCAAAAAUCAAUAUUGGACAAUGCUGAAAUGCCUCUGUUCAGCUGCUGUUUUAAGUGGCUUGUACAGACCUUUCAAAUCAUGUUGCCAACAAAUGGAGGAAAUACAGCUUUUAAAAAGUCAGAGAAUUAUUAAUAGUGUGCUUGACCUCCAGCUCUGCACAGUCUACAAAAAAAGCAUCAUUUUUCAUAUGCUGCUGCCUUAUGUCUAAUUCUGCAAGCCCUGUUAGGAAGCAGUUGCGCAUAGGAGAAGUGCAUUCAGAGAGUGAGGGUCAAAGCUUUAGAUCCAUGAUGGACUGUGGGAGGGAAGGAGAGCGGGAACAGCUCAUGUUCAACCCCUGAACAAAAAGGGAGGGGUUCAGGAACCCUACACCUCAUAUAUCAUUCACAUGCUAAUGAUAUUUCUUGUCCUAAUGUGUGAGAGAAGAAAAUUAACUGUGCUGAGGUUACGCUUGCAGCUUUCCAGCAGGGAUAGAGAAGUAUGAAAAGAAGCAAAUGUCAGAUGGCUUCAUAAGAAAAUGAAUGCUCUAGCCACUACCCUGGUGUCUGAGGAGUGACUGGGGAACCAGCACCUCCAAUUGUGCUCCCCAGCAGGCUAAUCUGUUGCACAGCAUUUAUAGCACAAAGAAGCAGUCUGAACCUUUAUUAACUUUAACCACUGCCUGAGUAACCUAAAGUGACAAUCCAUCUCUCUCAUUGCUGUUAUUAAGUCAGUUUUGAUAGGACAAUGAUAAGGACAAUGCCUUAUCAUCUGCAGAAAAAAUGGAGAGGAGAUACAAUGCAGACAGCAAGUUUCUAGGUAAAAUUAAUCUGUCUGAGAAGAGGAGAAAAACGCUGCACACUGUGCUGAACAAAUCUUUGCAUUGAUUUCUGGAAACAGAGUCUUUCUAGGAGCACCACAAAUGCUUAUCUUUAUUUAGUGCUUGGAUUCAAAGAGCUGUCAAUCUUCCUCUAUCCAGAUAACUCCCAUUUGUGUUCAGGUCUGGGGUGUUUUAGGGUCAUACAUUAUUUCUGCUUGUGCUGUUCCUGCUUUUCACUUUGCUGCCAGCUCUGCAGUUCUUCAUCAGCCUCACACAGCCACGUGUGCAAACAGAACCACUCCAGCCCCACUGCUUGGUGGCAGUGGGCAGUGUCCAGGUGACACGUGGCACUGCUGCAGCUCCAAGAGUGCACGUGCAAACCUUGGAAAUGCAAUACUUGUUCUCACAGAGAGCCUUAAACAAUCAUUUAAAUAUACAUGGAGAUCUCAUUUACGCAUUGUCAUCUGAGAGCCCAAAUCUUAUCUGUCUAUGGUCAUGCUGUGUGUGGACUCUGUGGCCCAACAAAGAACUAAUUCCUCCUCUCUGACUGUCGUACCUACUAUCUGGUUCUGUGUCCAGUGCAUAGGAAUAAAAAGGCAAUUCUUUUAUACCUCCCCUUCAAUUCAGAUGGGAUUAAGCCUGCCUUUCAGCUGGAUGGCUGAGGUAGCCUGAGAUAAAAUUUCAGGCCAGUAAAAAGUUACUACUCCUGCACAGAGAAAGAUGAAAGGAAAGUAGUUGUGAAUUGGAGAGAUAAACAGCUCCUGGGGAAGCUCCACUACACAGCAGUAAUAGCUCAAGUCUGUGGUUUAAAAUCACGGUCUUAACUACAGUAAACAGAGCCAGUUAUAGUGGCUUUUUUUUUCAAGGUGAAGGCUAGAAUGCAGGCCAUGGAAGACAGACAUGGAAAAUUUGUACACUAUUUAAGAAUCCCUCACUGAACUUAUCCCACAUCCUAUUAGAAGUUCCAGGACCUGUAACAAUAAGCUUACAUACAUAACUACAGUCACUACAGGAUGAACCAAUGCAUUGCAAGUAAGGAGGUCUGUAUCCAAACACCACGGGAGGUGGAUUUGUCACAUAAAUACCAUCUUUCUUUACCUUGAGCUCUUGUGGGAACCCUAAGUUAAUUUCUGUUCACACAGGAUCACUUGGUGUUUACCGUCAUUUAUAUAGGACAAUAUUUGGUUUAGUUCCUCUUUGAAAUAAGGUAUUUUACCUUACAGUUACCCAUGCAUCUUACUAUUUUGCCUCAGCAAACAGAAGGGGGAAAAAUAAGAAAAGUGGUUUUAAUUUUUAUUUUCUUUUGUCAGGGAAAGUAUGUGGAACUAAAAAGAAGAAAAUGGAAGGGAGGUGAAGGUCUUGUCAGCAAGCAGAACUAGUUUCAGAACUAGUUAGAGACUCAUGAGCAUCUUGGGGAGAAACAGAUGCUCCUGGGAGCUUGCCUCUUGGGGCACACCUGUGUUCCUGGGGACAGACAGACCCUGGCUUGAGCUGUGCAGGCUUUUGAGGUGACUGGACGCAGCCAGCUCUGCUCCCAGGCAGCACAGAGCUGCUGUAGGAGGGCACAGUGCCUGAACACUGUGCUGUGCCUCUCAGCAUAUUACACAGCUCUGUGGUUCGUGGAGUGGAAGUGUCUCCUGUGUGCUUCAUCCAGGUCUGGACAAAGGUAGCUUGAGUGGAGUGCAAUUGCCUCUGUGUCCUCAUGUCCUUAAUCAUCACGGCAGUUGUCCUCACUGCUCCGCCAGCUCUGCUUGUAUCCUCACUCCUCUCCUUGCUGAGCAUCUCCUCUCCUGUUAAAUUUAUCUCUCUUGUAUUACUCACUGUCUCUUUGCUGUCAUGAGCUGCAUGCAAAUGCCUGGCUUAUUGUUUGAGAUAAUGCAUUUCUGCUAUCGCAAUGAAAUAAGUGUAUUCCAUUUGUUUAUUAGCUAAUUAAACUAACCUCUAGAAAACGG
Non-coding RNA from Cyanistes caeruleus (blue tit), 3132 nucleotides. Lineage: Eukaryota; Metazoa; Chordata; Aves; Passeriformes; Paridae. The record is from RefSeq and is a predicted model, not a curated record.